RNAcentral lists this unclassified non-coding RNA (309 nucleotides) under plant metagenome. Its description in RNAcentral is "partial contains 5.8S ribosomal RNA, internal transcribed spacer 2, and large subunit ribosomal RNA". The stretch from base 1 to 105 matches the Rfam family "5.8S ribosomal RNA", at positions 50 to 154 of the family's 154-position model. The record is from RNAcentral.
GAAAUGCGAUAAGUAGUGUGAAUUGCAGAAUUCAGUGAAUCAUCGAAUCUUUGAACGCACAUUGCGCCCCUCGGUAUUCCGAAGGGCAUGCCUGUUCGAGCGUCAUUUGUACCCUCAAGCUCUGCUUGGUGUUGGGUGUUUGUCCCGUCUCCGCGCGUGGACUCGCCCCAAAGUGAUUGGCAGCCGGCGUACUGGUCCCGGAGCGCAGCACAUGUCGCGCAAACGAGUGCCUUGGUACGGCGGCGUCCAUAAGCCCCUCUCUCACGCUCUUGACCUCGGAUCAGGUAGGGAUACCCGCUGAACUUAAGC